RNAcentral lists this ribosomal RNA (657 nucleotides) under Cronobacter sakazakii. RNAcentral describes it as "bacterial SSU rRNA". It matches the Rfam family "Bacterial small subunit ribosomal RNA", at positions 28 to 674 of the family's 1533-position model. Lineage: Bacteria; Pseudomonadati; Pseudomonadota; Gammaproteobacteria; Enterobacterales; Enterobacteriaceae. The record is from RNAcentral.
AUUGAACGCUGGCGGCAGGCCUAACACAUGCAAGUCGAACGGUAACAGGGAGCAGCUUGCUGCUCUGCUGACGAGUGGCGGACGGGUGAGUAAUGUCUGGGAAACUGCCUGAUGGAGGGGGAUAACUACUGGAAACGGUAGCUAAUACCGCAUAACGUCUACGGACCAAAGUGGGGGACCUUCGGGCCUCAUGCCAUCAGAUGUGCCCAGAUGGGAUUAGCUAGUAGGUGGGGUAACGGCUCACCUAGGCGACGAUCCCUAGCUGGUCUGAGAGGAUGACCAGCCACACUGGAACUGAGACACGGUCCAGACUCCUACGGGAGGCAGCAGUGGGGAAUAUUGCACAAUGGGCGCAAGCCUGAUGCAGCCAUGCCGCGUGUAUGAAGAAGGCCUUCGGGUUGUAAAGUACUUUCAGCGGGGAGGAAGGUGUUGUGGUUAAUAACCACAGCAAUUGACGUUACCCGCAGAAGAAGCACCGGCUAACUCCGUGCCAGCAGCCGCGGUAAUACGGAGGGUGCAAGCGUUAAUCGGAAUUACUGGGCGUAAAGCGCACGCAGGCGGUUGAUUAAGUCAGAUGUGAAAUCCCCGGGCUCAACCUGGGAACUGCAUUUGAAACUGGUCAGCUUGAGUCUCGUAGAGGGGGGUAGAAUUCCAGGU